CUCUGUCCCUGUUCCAGCUCCACCCUCCCAUUUCCCUAUGUUCUCAUCCCCCACUCCUCGCCCUCCGCCCGCCCCCCACUCCCAGUCCGCUCAUGUAGAUCUCAUCCACUUCUCCUUUGCUACCCCAUACUGAUCACAGGAGACUGUUAGAAGCUUCUGCUCUUCAUUAAUUCAGGCCAAAGCAUGGCUGUGCCCAGAAGAUAGAACAGAGUUCUGGGGGUUCCUAGUGUGAAAUCACCCCCUGAUGUUUGAUGGCUCAGCCACACUUCAAAGUGGCUGGUUUUAAUGGGCUAGCAAAGGGGUUUUUAUUUCCCAAGGAGAGAGUCCCUUCUCUUCUCUUGUCUUUCUCUUUCUCCCCCUUCCCUUCCUCUUCCCGUUCCCUUCUCUUGGGUGUUGGGAUCACACCUCAUACCUGCUGGGCAAACACUACCCUGAGCUCCACUUCCUCAGCCCCAGGAAGGGAUUCUUUAUACAUUCUCUUUGUGAUGAUUGGUCAGUCUAAGGGCCCUACAGGAUAUUCACUGAUACCAUAAGCAUGUUUUGAGUACCUUCCCUGUUCUGGUUGUGUCCUGGCGAUCCCAUGGAAAAAACAUACAGUCUGGUCAGGGAUACAAAGCAAGAUACGGGUGGUAAAAUGAGUUUCUGUUUUAUUUGAGUUGGGAUGUCUCAGUUAACACUCUACAGUGUUGCCUUAGACUUGGACAUGCUUUCAAUUUAAGGCAAAGGGUCAUUAUAAAGAAGACCUAGGGAAAGAUGAGUGAGUGAAAAAAAAGAAAUAAAAAAAGAAGGGUGUGACUGCUCCUAGGUAUGAUGGAGGAGAAGGUUUAUCAUGGAUAAAAGGGAGAGCUUAUCCAGAGGCAGAGACAUCUAGGAGAGUGAAAAGUGAACGUGACCCUGAGCUGGGCAUUGUGAAGAGCCAGAAGAGGAGAGAGCCAGGAGAGUAAAGUAGACAAAAGGGCCAGGUAACCAAAAUGGCUGGAUUAUAUAGGGAAGGGCCGCUGGGGAAAGGGCAGCCCAGGCCCUGGGCUGGAGAAGUUUAGGGUAAGGGGUGAGGUAUGCCAUUCAUACCCUGCAACAGGUAAGGACUGAGGGAUGCUGGGAGAACCUGGCAACCAGGUCGGCCUGGAUAUGUUAAAUAGGCACCUUGCUUAGCCAUUUGUCCUGGGUUUGAAACCUAACAACAAGGACACAGAUUAAGUGACCCCAUGGCUUAUCCAGCCCCGAUAUUUAACCUCACCAAGCUUCUUACCUUUCUGUAAAGUGGGGAUAAUAACAUUGGCAUUAAAGGGCAUAGUAGGGGUUAAAUGAGGUGAUGUAGGCAAAAGCCAGGCAUGGUGCUUGGUUCACAGGAGCUUCUCAGCCAUUGCUUGCUAGAGUCAGGAGGAUAUCAAUAGAGACAGCAGACAGUAUACUAACUGCCACAGACAGAUAAGGGAGGAACCAAACAGUGGCUGCUAAGAGAAGAUGUCAGCUACCAAAGCCAUGUCCUCCAUAUAUCAGAAUACAAUUCCCAGCUUUCCUAAAAGUACUUAAAGACUUGAACUUUUCUUAAAUUCAUAAAAGGUGAGGUUGAAGCGAUGAGUGUGUAUGUAUGUGUGCAUGUGUGUGUGUGUUUUAAACUGAGCCCACACGCUUCUUUUUUCCUUCUCCUUCCUUUUCUUGAAGUCCAGAACAAUAAUCCUUGUUUAGAAAAUGUUUUAGCCAAAGCCUGUUUCAAUUUAAGAUAUUUCAGCGAGACAGUGAAUAACCAUUUAUCCUACUGAAGAUUUUUCAUUUCCCAGAAUUACUGGAACAAAGAUGCCAUUAUUAAAAUAUGCUCUUGAUCUCCCAUUGCAUGGUCUUGAUCGUCACAAAAGGAUCAUUCACAGUGGCUUUAUAAGAAUGGAAACUAUGGUAUCAUUAUCAUAUAGAACACUCUAUCAAAGAUCUUGAUUCGCAGAGACUGGGUUCUCUGCGAAGUUGAACAGACUAGCUGACUUCAGCAAAACAAAGGAUUAGCUAGAAGGCUGUGGUUUGCUUAUGGAUCCCUAGGGAAAGCUGGGUAAAAGAAAGAGAGAGAGAAACAAAACAAAAACAAUAAACCCAGGUUUCAGAAAGCGCAGGGCAGAUUGAAGAGCAGAGACAAAUGGACUCUCAAAUUUAAUUUCCUGUGAGAGAGAGAAUCUGAUUGGCUAAACUGGAGGCAGUGGAACCCCUUGACUGAUAGUCCCACCAGCCUUCUGAGAGUGGAGAGGGAUAGUUUACAAAGGCAGCUGAGGUGUGGCCACCAGUAGGAUGAGAUAGUGGGAAGAGUUACUUUACAGAGAGCUAAUGCAGGAGUCACUGAAGACGGAAUGAAAGGGGUUUAUCCCAGGAGCCACAGUUAGUGGCAGAAAUGAAAUCAAUCUCUCUCCCUCUCCCUCUCCCUCUCCCUCUCUUUCUCCCUCCCUCACUCCCUCACCUCCCUUCUCGUUACAAAUUGGAUACAGGGUUGUACCUAUUAGGUAAGCAUUCUACCACUGAGCUAUAUCUCUAGUCCAGAAACAAAACCUUCUGAUACAGCCAAAUGGGAAAUUUAAACAUUAUUCUUUUAUUUCCAGCUUGCCAAAACAAUGGUUUAGAGAUAUGGAAGAUUAGGAUUAUCUGUGCCACUUGUUAAAAUAAUGGAACUGCUCCCCAAGAGCCAUGGACCAUCUAACAAAAACCCCAGUGCCAAGCAUGCAAAACCCCACUUCCAGUUGUUUGUCAGAGGAGUCCAAGAGAUUCCCCAAAACAAUAGGGGCUAUGUCUGUUGCUCUUAGUUGCUUCCCAGAAGUUGAAGGAUCUAGAAUUACCAGAGACAGGCCUCCAGGAACACAUGUGACCAUAAAAGUAGGAACACCAUUUGGGCUUGGUUCUUAGACCGAAUAAAAAGGAGGAAGCUUCUUGAGAGCAUUCAUUCAUCUCCUUCUGCUUCCUGCUUCCUGGCUGUGGAUGUCACAUGAUCAGUGCCUCCAGCUCUGGCCACCAUGGCUUCUCCGACUCCAUGAUGUCCUGCACCCUCAAUCUUUGAACCAAAGUAAGUUUUUGUUGUUGUUGUUGUUAUUAUUAUUAUUAUUAUUACAGAGAUAAGUAAUUAAAAUAAUGGCUAAAAUCCAUCUAAUCCUAUUCUACUUAUGCUUGGAAAUACUUUCCAAGACAGAGAGUUGAGGGUUUCCCUUGCUUUCUCCUUCUAGCCCUCCUUACCUUAAGUCUCACUAAUUUCUACCCAUUAAUCCUUAAGUCUCUUUCUUAUAUGUAGAGGGCCAUUCCUUUUCCUGCUUCAGAUUGAUAUCACCUGUGGCCACUGUCACACUUUCCCUAUUAUUCUCCCUGCCUCUAAGUACGUAUGGCAUUGCACCCCUCUGAUUCUUAGGCUUUCCAUCAGCAUUAACCCCAAAUCAUGCUCCUUGGUUUGCUAAUAGGCCCUCUACAUCCUGCCCUCCGCACCCCCUUCAGCAGCACCUCUAAGUCAGCUGACUCACGUGUGUGUGAUUUUCUGCAUAUAGCACAUGGCUCAUGCCACUAUGGCUUUGCUCAUACUUUACCCAGUGUGGCAGGCGACACCCCCUAUAUCUCAAUUUCUGCACAUGACAUAAGCCUUAGUCGAGGUACCAGGUCUUCUAGAAAGCCUUGCAAAUUCUUCAAGUUGAUCUGGAUUCCCCAUAGCUAGCUAGCUUCCAUGGCUCUUUCUCUUGAGCCCCCCAACACUGCCCCCCAUCCCGGUCUCACACACAUGUCAUUGCACUAUGUAGAUCAGGUUUCCUGGCUACCAUGUAGCCUUCCUUGUAGUCAUGGGAACAGUGGGUUCAUCCAUGAGUGUUGGUGUUUAGUGCUACAUGAAACAUAGGAGGAUUUUGAGAAGUAUCUGCUGAGUGAAUUAACAGUUAAAACUGUAAGUCUGUGUUUCCUCCUAGAGCUUAUUUUAUAACCAUAGGUCAAGGUUACUAUAAAGUUCCUCUUGGCUUUGAUGCUUUCCUCAGUAUGAAAAGGGGGUCCCCUAAUGUACUAUAGGAGCUAAAGGGGAUUUUGUUGUAUAGCAGUUUCCUCCUUGAUUCAAACAUUCCGUCAUGUAAGUUCAAGACCAGCUUGAGACUGUCUCAGUUUUCUUCCUUCUUCCUUCUUGGUGCCAUGGAGUCACUCAGUUUGUGCAUGUUCCCUCUGUUCUCCCACUCCCCUCCACCCCAGAAAUCCAAGUCCCUGUGGGUCAAGACUUCACACCUAGACCUGCAGGACAUGAAGUUUGGUCUCUAUUUUUCCUACUUAGGGUAGCUGUGAGACCUGUUCACCUUCCAUCUACACUUCUAAGCAGAGCUUGAGGCACUGAAUGUUUGCCAAGCUGCCUAGUCAGGAAACAGUUCAUUCUUUAUUCACGGGGGUGUUACCUGGAAUUGACAAUUCAUGGGCGCUGUUCUAGGUGCUGAUGGUACAUCUGCAUCCACGCAGCACAUAGAUCUAGCUUGUCUUUGUGAACGAGCGGCUCGAUUGAGAAGGCAGGAGGAUAUGUCUGAAGAGUUACAUCCCAAUGUCUCCAGGAUACUGAGCAAAUCUUUUUAGCAUCCUAAAUGGAUCCUGUUCCUGGUUCUUACAGCUCAUAGCUUACUAGAACAAUCAAAGACAUCUACCUCCGAUUCUGCUUUUAUCUGAGCACCAACCUUUAUCAUGCAUAGUAUGAUCCAGUUCUUUUAAAAUUUAUCUAAUUCCAUUCAAGGCAACAAAAGAGAACUGAAAGUUAUCAAAAUUUACCCUUCAAUAAUGUGGUUAGUUGCUAUUUCAUUGUGCUAACAUUUUUUUUUCCAAACACAACACUUGAAAAUACUGAUCCAAGUAGCAAUUUAUGAGCAUCUAUCAUCGAAACUUCAUACAACUGUCUGAGAAAGGCCAGAUUAUUGCCCCAUUUUACAUUUACAAAAGCCAGGGACUUAGAUUAAUUGCCCCAGGUCAUCACAUAGACAUGAAUUAGCAGAGUUGUAAUUGAAGACGAUCUCUGUCUGACACUUACUAUGAUGCUUUUAGUAUUACUCUGAAAGAGACAAGAUAAUGAUACUCUAACUACAGCCUUUAAAUGCUACAUUCUAUCAGGUGUGGUGGCACAUUCCUCUAAUCUCAGCACUUGUGAGGUGGAGGCAGGAAGGGUAGUCAUAGUAGUUCAAGGAUAGUCAAGGCUACAAGGCUAGCCUGGGUUAUACGAAACCUGCCCCCGCCCUCCAAAUACCACACACACACACACACACACACACACACACACACACACACACACACACAAAUGAAUAAAGAAUAUAUUCUUCAUCUUUACCAACUUAUUUACAGAAAAGAAACAAAGCUUAAAGACUCUAGGCUGUCUGUAUAGAAGAAUAAUCUUUGGGGCAUUUCAAUGACAAAUCUGCUUUAAUUGUGUCAUUUUCUAAGAACAUUAUAAAUAGACAUCUAAGCAAAUUAUUUCAUCCAGUGAAGAAAAAACUAUUUUUAUAAGAAUGAAAUAUUUUAGUUUCAUUACUUAUUUCAGUAUAAAAAUGAUUUUUUUUUUGGCCAGGCAUGGUGGUACAUGUC
This is a non-coding RNA of Peromyscus maniculatus bairdii (prairie deer mouse), 5547 nucleotides long. The record is from RefSeq and is a predicted model, not a curated record. NCBI's taxonomy places the organism in Eukaryota, Metazoa, Chordata, Mammalia, Rodentia, Cricetidae.